This 292-nucleotide ribosomal RNA is filed under the name uncultured bacterium. RNAcentral's name for it is "partial 16S ribosomal RNA". The record is from RNAcentral.
GGACUACCCGGGUAUCUAAUCCUGUUUGCUCCCCACGCUUUCGUGCCUCAGUGUCAGUAUGAAUCCAGGGAGCCGCCUUCGCCACUGGUGUUCCUUCCGAUAUCUACGCAUUCCACCGCUACACCGGAAAUUCCACUCCCCUCUAUUCUACUCAAGCUACUCAGUAUUAGAUGCAGUUCCCAGGUUAAGCCCGGGGCUUUCACAUCUAACUUAAAUAACCACCUACGCACCCUUUACGCCCAGUCAUUCCGAUUAACGCUUGCACCCUCUGUAUUACCGCGGCGGCUGGCAC